UACGUAGGAUCCAAGCGUUGUCCGGAUUUACUGGGUGUAAAGGGUGCGCAGGCGGACUGGGGAGUCUGGGGUGAAAUCUCGCUGCUUAACAGCGAAACUGCCUUAGAUACUAUCAGUCUUGAAUCAGCGAGAGGUUCGUGGAAUUCCGAGUGUAGCAGUGAAAUGUGUAGAUAUUCGGAAGAACACCAGUGGCGAAGGCAGCGAACUGGCGCUCGAUUGACGCUCAGGCACGAAAGCAUGGGGAUCAAACAGG
Molecule: ribosomal RNA, 253 nt
Filed under: uncultured bacterium
Lineage: Bacteria
Description: partial 16S ribosomal RNA
Rfam family: Bacterial small subunit ribosomal RNA
Source: RNAcentral